RNAcentral lists this ribosomal RNA (504 nucleotides) under uncultured bacterium. Its description in RNAcentral is "partial 16S ribosomal RNA". It matches the Rfam family "Bacterial small subunit ribosomal RNA", at positions 28 to 523 of the family's 1533-position model. The record is from RNAcentral.
GACGAACGCUGGCGGCGUGCUUUACACAUGCAAGUCGAACGGUGAAGGUGGAGCUUGCUCCGCCGGAUCAGUGGCGAACGGGUGAGUAACACGUGGGCAACCUGCCCCUAACUUUGGGAUAACUACUCGAAAGAGUAGCUAAUACCGGAUAUGAAGUCUGUAGGCAUCUAUGGAUUUGGAAAGUUUUUCGGUUAGGGAUGGGCCCGCGGCCUAUCAGCUUGUUGGUGAGGUAGUGGCUCAUCAAGGCGACGACGGGUAGCCGACCUGAGAGGGUGAUCGGCCACACUGGGACUGAGACACGGCCCAGACUCCUACGGGAGGCAGCAGUAGGGAAUCUUCCGCAAUGGACGAAAGUCUGACGGAGCAACGCCGCGUGAGUGAUGAAGGCUUUCGGGUCGUAAAACUCUGUUGUUAGGGAAGAACAAGUGCUAGUUGAAUAAGCUGGCACCUUGACGGUACCUAACCAGAAAGCCACGGCUAACUACGUGCCAGCCGCCGCAGUAA